Myxocyprinus asiaticus (Chinese sucker) is the source of this 1018-nucleotide long non-coding RNA. RefSeq lists it as uncharacterized. The transcript is spliced from 4 exons. NCBI's taxonomy places the organism in Eukaryota, Metazoa, Chordata, Actinopteri, Cypriniformes, Catostomidae. The record is from RefSeq and is a predicted model, not a curated record.
UGAUGAAAGUGAAGUGGUAAGAUUUAAUCCCCUUGUGUUCUUUUGUCCCCAUUUCCUCACAUCUCAUAACAGCCUGAUAAAUGAAUGUUUAGGAGCUGGACCCAAAGCUUGACCGGGAUUUCUUCAGGACGCUCUCGCUACUGAAAAAGAAAGAUGCAAAGAUCUAUCAGAAGGAUUCCAAGUUCUACACAAAGGAUUGUAUGUAAAGAGGCCUCAUUUUAUGACUAAUACUGUGAUCAAUGACAUUAUGAGACCAGAUUUUUUAAGUAUGAACUGUGAAUUGCUCUUUAUCGAGCAUCAAGAUCUGGCAGUGAUGAGCAGCCAUUCACUUCAAAAAAGUCAGAGAAACCCAUGUUCAUGAAGGACUAUGAGCGAAAAAAUCAUCCUGGAGAGUGGAGGAUAAGAAACCAUGUGUGCUGUGGCCAAAUUUAUGCUCUGUCUCUCUAUAGUAACAUUCUGGAACCAUUAUUCUACAAACAGUGUCUAAAAAGAAGAAAAAGAAGAAGAGAGAGGAGAGGACAAAGACCAAAGAUGACGCUCCUCUAAUGGGAAAGAAACUAAGGAAAUCUCACUUUGCAGAGAUUCUAACCAAAAGGAAGCCAGUUUUUGAUCCAAGUCGGAAAGGGAUGAACUUUGUGAGGUGAAGACCUUUAAGAUUAAAGCUCGGAACGUCAAGAAGAAACAGCAAGUGUUCACAUCUCUGUAUAAUGAGAACGACGGUCAAACAGGGCCGAUGGACGCCAAGGGGAAGAUGGGCAAGAAGAGGAGGGAUCGCCUGAAGAGGUCAGAGGCCAUGAAAGAGAAGGAAGAUCUCACAGAGGAGAAAUCCGAAAGCACUCCAGCAGACAGCAUGGACAAAACAGAGGGCCAGGACCUGAGAGAAGCCACUGCGAUGGAUGAAGGAGAGGAUGAGGAGGAGUUCCUGUUUCCUAAGAAGAUGAAAGUGGAAAAGACUCCAGAAACCCAGAAAGAGGACUUGCCCAAUCAAAGGACUGAAAAACCUAAAUGGCCGAAAAAG